This 23-nucleotide microRNA is filed under the name Oreochromis niloticus (Nile tilapia). RNAcentral's name for it is "oni-miR-10702". Lineage: Eukaryota; Metazoa; Chordata; Actinopteri; Cichliformes; Cichlidae. The record is from miRBase by way of RNAcentral.
UGAUGAAGGAGAUAGCACUGUGC